RNAcentral lists this non-coding RNA (26 nucleotides) under Rattus norvegicus (Norway rat). The record is from RNAcentral. Lineage: Eukaryota; Metazoa; Chordata; Mammalia; Rodentia; Muridae.
UGAGAGAAUGAAAGGGUCUACUGAGC